Molecule: long non-coding RNA, 462 nt
Organism: Coregonus clupeaformis (lake whitefish)
Lineage: Eukaryota; Metazoa; Chordata; Actinopteri; Salmoniformes; Salmonidae
Exons: 3
Source: RefSeq, a predicted model, not a curated record
AAACAACGAUGUAAGGCUAAAAUUGGAGUGUACCACCACAACGAGUUGCCCAACAGUAGUUUGGCAUGUUGAGGACACAAGACCUUUGACAGGCGCCCUCAAACACUGCUACGAAAAAGCAAAGCAAAGACCACUGCUACACAGAAUAGAUGGUGGCAAUGAAUACAUGGUGACAAGUGAAAAUCUGAAAAAUGCACAGUCCAGGUCUCUGAAUCUCAAUGUGAUAGCGUAUGGUAAGACGACAUCUGGAGUUGUCAAGUACACCAUUCAGAUACCAGGUGUUGCAACACCUGCACCUGUUGCCACUAACAUACCGCCUGCUACUACCCUACCAGCUGCUACCACCAUCCUACCGGCUGUUACUACUCGUCCAGCUGCUACUACCAUACCAGUUGCUACCAUCCCACUGGUAGCUACUACCCUCCCGGCUGCUACCACCAUACCGGCAACUACUACCGUACC